AGUGAACGCUGGCGGUAGGCCUAACACAUGCAAGUCGAACGGCAGCACAGUAAGAGCUUGCUCUUACGGGUGGCGAGUGGCGGACGGGUGAGGAAUACAUCGGAAUCUACUUUUUCGUGGGGGAUAACGUAGGGAAACUUACGCUAAUACCGCAUACGACCUACGGGUGAAAGCAGGGGAUCUUCGGACCUUGCGCGAUUGAAUGAGCCGAUGUCGGAUUAGCUAGUUGGCGGGGUAAAGGCCCACCAAGGCGACGAUCCGUAGCUGGUCUGAGAGGAUGAUCAGCCACACUGGAACUGAGACACGGUCCAGACUCCUACGGGAGGCAGCAGUGGGGAAUAUUGGACAAUGGGCGCAAGCCUGAUCCAGCCAUACCGCGUGGGUGAAGAAGGCCUUUGGGUUGUAAAGCCCUUUUGUUGGGAAAGAAAAGCGGCAGGUUAAUACCCCGCUGUUCUGACGGUACCCAAAGAAUAAGCACCGGCUAACUUCGUG
Molecule: ribosomal RNA, 492 nt
Filed under: uncultured bacterium
Lineage: Bacteria
Description: partial 16S ribosomal RNA
Rfam family: Bacterial small subunit ribosomal RNA
Source: RNAcentral